UACGGAGGGAGCUAGCGUUGUUCGGAAAUACUGGGCGUAAAGCGCACGUAGGCGGCGCAGCAAGUCAGGGGUGAAAUCCCAGGGCUCAACCCUGGAACUGCCUUUGAUACUGACGGUCUGGAGAUCGGGAGAGGUUGGUGGAAUUCCGAGUGUAGAGGUGAAAUUCGUAGAUAUUCGGAGGAACACCAGAAGCGAAGGCGGCCAAAUGGCCCGAUACUGACGCUGAGGCGCGAAAGCGUGGGGAGCAAACAGG
RNAcentral lists this ribosomal RNA (253 nucleotides) under uncultured bacterium. Its description in RNAcentral is "partial 16S ribosomal RNA". It matches the Rfam family "Bacterial small subunit ribosomal RNA", at positions 524 to 776 of the family's 1533-position model. The record is from RNAcentral.